UGCGAUUACAUGGUUUGCUUGUUCGUAUUACAGAAGUCAUUUAAUACAAAUACAAGUAAAUAAAACAUGAAACCUUAAUUUACGCUUCUUCUUUACGUUCAUGAUCUUGUUAUCAUUCUUCUUUAACUGCAAAUAAAGUUUUAUUUGCAAGAAUAAGCACUACAACUCAUCAAGUCUAACAAAUAACACAUACACAGUUUAUACUUUCAUAUAAACUUUAGCAUGCUUUGACUUGUCAUAUUCCUCAAUUUAAUAUCACAGUUAACUUUCAUUACAACAAUUUAUAUCACAUUGUCACACAAAGCGUAUAAAUCAGGUUCAUAAUUUGUAAACAUAACACAUAACAGUUAAAAGACUUGCCUCGUAUAUCUUUUACAGAUUAUAUAUUAAGGAUUAAACGCUCGUCGUAAAUCCUACACGAUUAUAAGUUCAUGUAGAAUAAUUAAGCAUUUAACGAUUAAAUCUUUUAAGUUUUAUUUCGGGUAUUAUAACCGCUUAUAAAUAAGACUUCUUACUAUACGUGAAAUAAUUUCAGCAUUAUAAUUGCUUAUAAAAUGAAUAUUCAUCGAUCUAUAUUUAAAAUAAAUUGAGCAUUAUAACUGUUUGUAAAAUGAAUAUUCUUACUAAAUACUUGAAGAAAAUCGAACAUAGUAACUGCUUAUAAAAGUAUAUUUUUACUAAUUAUAUAAAGAAGGAUGAAAAUAAUAACCACUAGAGUAAUACCUCUUGAAGUUGCAAGCUUUUCGAUACUUGAAAAUGCAAGACUUUAGUUUUCCUUCCUUCUCUUAAUUAUCCAUAUUACUCUCUUAUGAUUAC
RNAcentral lists this long non-coding RNA (816 nucleotides) under Panax ginseng (ginseng). Its description in RNAcentral is "long non-coding RNA (PGIN_LNC000554)". Lineage: Eukaryota; Viridiplantae; Streptophyta; Magnoliopsida; Apiales; Araliaceae. The record is from RNAcentral.